AAGUCGUAACAAGGUUUCCGUAGGUGAACCUGCGGAAGGAUCAUUACCGAUCGCGUUCUACACGUAGGACACCGAGAACCGUAUGGAGAGUUGGGGGUCGCUCCGUCGAGAGCGUCAAACGUCGGGAGCGCCCCGUCCGCGGGGUUGAUUCUCGCGGCCCCCACGUUUAUUUUUUCCAACUUUUAAACACCUUCACUGCAGAAAACGCGUCCGCUCGAACCGGACGAAAUCUUAAAAGUUCAUAACUUUUAACGGUGGAUCUCUUGGCUCGU
This 272-nucleotide unclassified non-coding RNA is filed under the name air metagenome. RNAcentral's name for it is "partial contains small subunit ribosomal RNA, internal transcribed spacer 1, and 5.8S ribosomal RNA". The stretch from base 1 to 46 matches the Rfam family "Eukaryotic small subunit ribosomal RNA", at positions 1786 to 1831 of the family's 1831-position model. The record is from RNAcentral.